Polypterus senegalus (gray bichir) is the source of this 1165-nucleotide long non-coding RNA. RefSeq lists it as uncharacterized. NCBI's taxonomy places the organism in Eukaryota, Metazoa, Chordata, Cladistia, Polypteriformes, Polypteridae. The record is from RefSeq and is a predicted model, not a curated record. The transcript has 3 exons.
CACAGUUCCACGUGUAGACCUUUAUAUAUAAGACAAGAAAAUGAUCACGAGCGUCAUGCAUUUUGUGGCUCUUUAAUGACGUCGGAACAGAAUGAUCAGAAGCACAAGUAAACGGAGAUUUUUUUUUUUUUAAAAGAAACCCGAGGUUUCUGUCUUAAACGGGUUACUCAACGUGUCCCUCGUUAAAAUAAACAAAAAAAAAAAAACAAAAAAAAACAAAUGGCAAACUGUACCAAGGGUUCCUUUCAAAGAAAUUAAGAAAGCUGUUUUUACUUUAGUGAUGGGAAAAUGAAUGACUUUCUUCUGCCGAAGAAGAUUUGAAGCCUCAGCCUCAGUAUGAAUGAUGAUGACAUCUGGUGGUUAACUGAGGCCAAGGCAAGGUCUCGAGCACAAGUGAAGCAGCACUCACUGUUUCAGUCUCAUGUCACCAGUACAAUGUCAGAAAAGUCUAUGUUCAUUUUAUUCUGCAGACAAUGGCCGACCGGUGAGAUGGACCAUGUUGUUGAACUCCAGGCUCUCAACAUCCAAGUCCAGAAACUCCUGUCCAGACAGAGGCACCUGAGGGAUUUGAAGGCUUGUCUACUGGAAAAAUCCUCCCCAACAUCUGAAAUUGCCUCAGCAAAUUGUGGCUCAGUAACAUUGACUCUAUGCUGUGCUGCUCACUUUCAAGGCCAAGUGAGUUUUAAUUCUGCGCCUCAUCGUCGGAGCAACAACAUCAUCAAUGAAGAUCUCUGCCUGUUUCAGCUAUGCGUGCAGGGAUUUAAAGCUAGAUCACCUCCAUCUGCACAGGCAAGCAUCUCCACCCAGAACCAUUUCAACCCUCUCUGCUCCCCAAGUUUGCUUUCAACCCCGGGUGAUGUAUUUGUGAUGGGAGAUUCUAUUGUACAAGACUUAAACAUCUCAUCCCCUAAUCAAAUUUGUUGUCUCGUUUUCCUGGUGCUCACGUUCAAGAUAUUAUGAGAAGAGCGCCAACAGUCUAAGAGGCACAAGAACAAGGCAGUGGGAUGCAUUGUAAUACACGCCAGGGUAAACGACGUGAGAUACUGACAGUUGGAGAUUCUCAAGGUGGACUUCACAGCAUUAACCUUCCUCUUGUGUUAGGGUCAGCACCGACCUGUUUUACUUUUUAAAUGCAUAAAAAUACUACCUAAUUUUGUUUAUUGCA